AGACACAUAAUUAAUAUUUGUUGUAUUGAUGAAAUAUGUAUUAUGGCAAAUCCAGACCAUGAUUUGAUUUUUUGACCAAUUGAUCCCCAUAAGCCCUAUUCCCAAGGAGAAAUUCAAUCAAUGCGCGUUCAACUAAAGUACCAGACUUUAUUUGAUCCUUACUGUGACUUAGGGCAAGAAGGUACUUUGGCCUCAUUUUAUAGAUAAGGAAACAGAGACUCAAGGAGCUAAGUGCCUGGCUGCAGAGUAUGCAACAACUAAGUAGAAAGCUGAGAAUGAACCCAGGUUUUCUGACUCCCAGUCCGCUGUUUAUUUCCCUGUUUCCCUAUUUCAUUCACCAUGUCUGCACCCUCUCUGACUGUUUCCCCAUCGUUAAUGGCACCAUGUGUACUGAAUCAAGCUCCCAUAGAUGAAAUAAUUAGAUGCAAUUGAAACCCGCCUACAACUAAGACGCAGUUUUUGAAACCAGGUCGUUUCUUAGAGCAACAACCAGUACCACGUGCUUUUCAACACUGAUAAUAUCACUUUUCAAUGCUGAUAAUAUCACUGUGGGGUGCAGGGGCAGGGUGGGGCGUAAAUAUCGCAAGUUAACUUGUCUGUAGCAAAAGAAGAGUGGAAUGGCUCCCAGAAACUUUGGUCCUCCCAACGUGAUGCUCAGAGGAGACAUUCUUGGACAGGAGAAGCGAAUGUGAUACGGAAGUACUUAUCAUAACAGGGGCAACGAGAUUGAGAUUUUGUAGUCACAGAGUUGUGCAAGUUAUGCAUAAAAUAAAGGGCUUCUGCAAAGAAAUCCAGACUUGCCUGACAUCCUGGACAAAAUACCUCCUCAGUGCUGAGACCCAUAGGUAUUUGGAAAUAUGGACACGCCUUAUAUUUGAGGAAGAAAUACACAGGUGCACAAAAAUCACAUCCCAGAAUUACUCAAAGAUGAUUUGUCAAGGCCAUUCAAACUGGGAACACACAUUCUGGAUUUGUGUCUAGAAAUUAGAUAUGGUAUACAGUGUCUUCAGAUCUCUAUCAGUAUAGACAGGACUUUGUGGACCUGUAGGUACAUGUUCGUGUAAGAGCAUAUGAGCAUGAUAUUUUAGGAACAAAGAGGAUUGGAAAGAUACAUUGUAGAGGUAAUUUAGUCCCCCUGUUUCAUUUGCACAACGAUUUUGAAGCUUAAACAGGCUUAAUGGACUAUGCAUUCCCACAUGGAGACCAGGAGUCAGCUGGCCUCUCCUUGUCCACUGGCCUCUCCAAGCACAGAGGGAGUGGGGUCUGGGAACCCCGAGAUCCAAAGGAAACUAUAGCUUUCACACAAUUUAAAUAUCAAAGUAUACACUAAAGACACACUCCUUCAGAGCUUUGGAGACUGAAGAUAGCUUGAAAACCACUGCUCUGAGGCUGAGUCUGCACAGCCAGCUAAGCUGGAUGAGAGACAAGGGUGCUCCUGGGGAGAGUCUGGAGGGCCUCACAGGCUCCCGCCACCCAGAGGAGAAAGAAGACCUUUACUCCCAUCCUCGGCAUGAGGCGCCAGGGGCCUGGUCUAAGCCUGUUCUCACUGCCUGCCAUGCCAAUCCCUAUGUUGUGUAUCUAAAGAAGUUAGCACAUCCUGGGUACACAGACCACAGCUUCCUCCCUUUGCUGAGGGCCUGUGCUUAGAGGUCUGAGCAUCGUGGAGAUAUUGCUUCACUUCUCCUUAGGGUGUCCACAUCAAGACCCUGGAGCCAUCUUACCACCCUUCCUGAUCAGAGGGGGGCCUUCUAGGUUACCUUGUCCACGCUCUCCAGACCACGCUUUGGACUUUCUCACUUUUAUUUAAGAGUCGACCCGGGGAAGGAGGAAAAAAAUCCACAGGAGAUCCGAGUCAAUUGGAAAGAAAAAAUUUCAAAAGGGUGUCCACGGCGGCGAAAAAGCCCAGACUCUGCCGACCUUCAAACGACAACAGGGCUUUCAGGAGGGUGCGGGGAGACAGCUUCGCACCCGGACCUGGCCAGAAACCCGGAACCCGCAGCCGCUCUGCCCCUCUUUCAGGCAGAGGGGACUCCGACUUCAUCACCGGGAGGCCCCCCGGGUUGCUGGGCAAAUCCUGAGCGCGGUGAUGGCCACCCCACGCCAGCUGCAGCUCCCCUGUCUGCACACACUCCUCCCAGGGCUUCAGGAGGCACAUCUGCGCUGAAACCGUUGGCUGAGUUUCUCUUCCUAACUCCUGUUGCGCCUGGCAAAUGCCAUUGUCUUCACUGCGCAGAUCAGUACAGUCACCCCAACAUCCCUAGCACCCCCAACUCCUUUUAGCAGGAGAUGCCUCUCCCAUUGGGAGUGCUCAAUAUGAACUAAAAUGAGGACCUGUCCUCCUCUUUUAGCUGAGGAACUCAAUAGCACUUUCUGUUUCUGCCUGUAAAACCAAAGCUAUGCCAAUUUCGUAAUUUUGAAGAUGGUGAUGGUGGGGAGGGGCUGGCAUAGGCAUAACUGUCACCCCCUUGUGACUCACCAGCUGGCAGUGGUGCCAUGCCUUUUGCUAUUCACCAGCCCCGCCAUGAGAAGCUUCUGUCCAUUCACAAGGUCCUCUGCCCAGAAAGAAGAACCCCGAAACUCUGAAUAGCUCUCUGAGGGAGUAUAAGAUUGCCUCCAUCCGGUGUAGACAUGCUGGGGGGCAAGUUUGCCCACUUACGUAACACUGGGUUUAAUGCUCAACUCUAUGGCUGCUGCUGCUUUUUUUAAAUCCCGAAGUGGGAAAAAGCCCUAACCAAACACAACAGUAAACAAGUUUGCCCUGUUUAAUGUGGUUACCACCAGACAUCUGGAAAGAUGGUUUGAUCCUGGCAGCUCACAUUGUUUUCACGAGCAGCCAAAGAGAAUAUUUUGAAUGUUUGCAUUGAGACAAAUUGAUAGAGAGCUUGUGGUGAGGCCGCUACAAAUGAAAACUUUCUUGGAGUUGGUGUGUGUGUGUGCGGGGAGGGUUUCUCCUUCUCUCUCCUCACAUUUCUCCCCUUCCUCCCUUUCUCUCUCUCCUCUCCCCUCCUCCCUUCUCCUCUGGCCUAGCUAGGGACUGGUGCCCUGGGCCCACACACUUGCACACACCCUCUUUCCUGGCUCAUCAGAGACUGUGCUGCCUCUCCCUUUCCCAGACUGGGCAGGGCUGGUGACCAGGAGCUGGUGCUGGGUACCAUCCCUGCCACCAGCCCCACCUGGCUUUCAAGUCAGGGGAAGCUCACAGCUAAGGAAGCUUGCCAACAUUUAAAACAAAA
Equus caballus (horse) is the source of this 3233-nucleotide long non-coding RNA. RefSeq lists it as uncharacterized. The record is from RefSeq and is a predicted model, not a curated record. NCBI's taxonomy places the organism in Eukaryota, Metazoa, Chordata, Mammalia, Perissodactyla, Equidae.